RNAcentral lists this ribosomal RNA (762 nucleotides) under human gut metagenome. RNAcentral's name for it is "bacterial SSU rRNA". It matches the Rfam family "Bacterial small subunit ribosomal RNA", at positions 549 to 1317 of the family's 1533-position model. The record is from RNAcentral.
AUUUAUUGGGUUUAAAGGGUGCGUAGGCGGCAAGGUAAGUCAGCGGUGAAAGACCAGGGCUCAACUCUGGAAGUGCCGUUGAUACUGUCUGGCUAGAAUGAUUCCGCCGUGGGAGGAAUGAGUAGUGUAGCGGUGAAAUGCAUAGAUAUUACUCAGAACACCGAUUGCGAAGGCAUCUCACGAGGGGUUUAUUGACGCUGAGGCACGAAAGCGUGGGGAUCGAACAGGAUUAGAUACCCUGGUAGUCCACGCAGUAAACGAUGAUGGCUAACUGUCGGGCCUACGGGUUCGGCGGCCAAGCGAAAGCGAUAAGCCAUCCACCUGGGGAGUACGACCGCAAGGUUGAAACUCAAAGGAAUUGACGGGGGCCCGCACAAGCGGAGGAACAUGUGGUUUAAUUCGAUGAUACGCGAGGAACCUUACCCAGGCUCGAACGGCAUCUGAAUUGUCCAGAGAUGGACAAGUCUUCGGACAGAUGUCGAGGUGCUGCAUGGUUGUCGUCAGCUCGUGCCGUGAGGUGUCGGCUUAAGUGCCAUAACGAGCGCAACCCUUGCCGUCAGUUGCCAUCAGGUUAUGCUGGGGACUCUGGCGGGACUGCCACCGCAAGGUGUGAGGAAGGGGGGGAUGACGUCAAAUCAGCACGGCCCUUACGUCUGGGGCGACACACGUGUUACAAUGGCGGCUACAGAGGGAAGCCACCCCGCGAGGGGGCGCGGAUCUGAAAAGGCCGUCUCAGUUCGGACUGGAGUCUGCAACCCGACU